RNAcentral lists this long non-coding RNA (648 nucleotides) under Cricetulus griseus (Chinese hamster). RNAcentral's name for it is "lncRNA (ENSCGRG00015035936.1)". Lineage: Eukaryota; Metazoa; Chordata; Mammalia; Rodentia; Cricetidae. The record is from RNAcentral.
CCGCCCUCCCUCCCUCGCGCUCUCUCUCGCGCUCGCUCGCUCGCUCCAGUAUGUAAAUGUGUAAUAGAAGCCAAAUAUGGAGCAGUUGGCUGCCGCCGCCACAGCUCAAGGAUCCGACUUCAUGGGGGGGGGGGGGCACCCUCUGGCAGGCGGCCCGGCGAGCCGCACAGAGCACGGCGAGCGCACGGCGCGGCUGCCGGCCCGCGCCCUUAACCCUUCUGUGCACCCGGCCGGAGCAGCGGUCCCUCCCUCCAGGGGAGGCCCGGUGCCUCUCCCUAACUGCGGCUCCGGAUCCCGGACAUCGGCCCGUGGGGACUGUGCCUUCCAGAGUUCAACAGUCUUGGUUAGAGAAGGAGGAGGAAGACAAUGAUGACAGUGAGGAGGACAAGGAGGAGAAAGAAAGUCCUGCAAUUUCAGAGAGUCCAGCUCUCUGAAGUCGGAAGGAAAUGCAAAGACCCUAUUUGUGGCUGCAGGAGAGGAAAAGAGUCCCGCAAGGAAACUACCAACAGAUGGAGAAAAACUUCUGUGUAUGUCUGUGAGGGGAGCUCUGGAUUUCGUUCACUGAAGUGAGGAGACUCCCGUGAAUGUGGACAGCGCUGUUUCUGGGCUGGCAUCGUGAACUGAAUACAAAAGGAGAAAGUGAGUGAG